UGUGAUCUCAAAUCAGACAAG
This 21-nucleotide ribosomal RNA is filed under the name Rhodymenia wilsonis. RNAcentral's name for it is "partial large subunit ribosomal RNA". Lineage: Eukaryota; Rhodophyta; Florideophyceae; Rhodymeniales; Rhodymeniaceae. The record is from RNAcentral.